CCUGGCGGCACUAGCGCGGUGGUCCCACCUGACCCCAUGCCGAACUCAGAAGUGAAACGCCGUAGCGCCGAUGGUAGUGUGGGGUCUCCCCAUGCGAGAGUAGGGAUUCAUAAACUGCCAGGC
RNAcentral lists this ribosomal RNA (123 nucleotides) under Salmonella enterica. Lineage: Bacteria; Pseudomonadati; Pseudomonadota; Gammaproteobacteria; Enterobacterales; Enterobacteriaceae. The record is from RNAcentral.